UGUGGUUGUGGUGCUUUUGGCUGUUUUUCUACCGCUCCUACACAAGUGGAAGAAAAGAGGAAGCUCUAAUAAUGUGAACAGCAGGGCCCCCUUAACCAGCACAAACAUGGAGCCUGUCUAUGAGAAUUCUGCUCCAGUCUCCACAUUGGAAGACUACGAGAACGUCAAUCCAUCCUCCACCUACGAGACCCUUAAUCCAAUCACUAUGGAUGACCAGACGUACAGCACACUCAAUCGUGCCACACAGGAAUAGUUGUGGUUUAUUUUGAGGACAUCUUCCUUCUGUGAUCUAAAAUAUCUCAAUCUAUUAUUUGCCUGUGCUCUGUACUGUUUUACAUUUUUGUUAAUACUUUU
This is a long non-coding RNA of Thunnus maccoyii (southern bluefin tuna), 354 nucleotides long. RefSeq lists it as uncharacterized. The record is from RefSeq and is a predicted model, not a curated record. The transcript is spliced from 3 exons. NCBI's taxonomy places the organism in Eukaryota, Metazoa, Chordata, Actinopteri, Scombriformes, Scombridae.